RNAcentral lists this transfer RNA (72 nucleotides) under Lachnospiraceae bacterium XBB1006. It matches the Rfam family "tRNA". From Rfam's summary of the family: Transfer RNA (tRNA) molecules are approximately 80 nucleotides in length. Lineage: Bacteria; Bacillati; Bacillota; Clostridia; Lachnospirales; Lachnospiraceae. The record is from Rfam by way of RNAcentral.
GGCUCGUUGGUCAAGAGGUUAAGACGCCGCCCUCUCAAGGCGGAAUCACGAGUUCAAUUCUCGUACGAGCUG